AUGGGAGAAGCGGAGAUCGCCCCGCUCAAGUCCUCCUGGAUCGCCCCGCUUGACAUGUACUAUGACCAUGGCGCUCAGAAGAAGAAGAUCCUGUUUGGCACGAGCGCAUGCAAGGUGUUCGUGGUGGACCCUGACACCGGCGUCCCACAAGUUAUAUUCUCGCCGGAGGACACGAUGAUGGGAGAUCAGGGCAACUGGGACAACGAAUUCCCCACCAUCGGGUUGUUUGAGGAGCGCCUCGCGUCCGUGGGCCGCACCAACGAGGAGAUCAUCUUCACUUCACCAUGGGCACGAGCCGCGUCCUCGGUGCUCAUGUAUCUGCCAGCACGUACGGUUGGGCGCUUGAACCAGGUGUGCAAGGGUUGGCGUGCUAUGAUAAAGGCCGACUGCUUCAUCGGUGCACAUUUGUACCAUGCAAACCUUGAUAAAAUUCCCCACAUUAUGUUCACAGAUGGAACGCCCUUCAGGUUCAAAGCCCUGGAGGAUUUCAUCAACACAUCACACGCACUACCACCUUUCGUUGACGAGGGCUCACGAGUGGUUUACUCCAAGCCGUGCAAUGGGUUGAACGAAGGGAGCUGGGCCAAGUAUGACCUCGUGUGCAACCCAUUGACAAAGUACUACCGAGCCAUAAACUUGGGCAAUGGUAAGAAUGCUGCAACCUCGAAAUCAUUCGUAAUAAAUACACCUCGUGUCGCCCUUGGGUAUGCACCCAAUAUAGGAAUGCAUGUCUUGGUGAGUCUUGCGUAUAAGGAAAAGAACUGGAUGACAUCGAGGGAUUACAAACUCGAGUGCAAGAUCCAGUUGAUCCAACGGCGUGACUGGGUACAGAUAGAUCCUCCUUCAAGGCCUAUGGCCGAUGUGCCGCCGGUCUAUGCAAGCGGCAAGCUCUAUUGGAUUGUAGACCCCGAGUUUGCUCCGACAUCGGCUUGCAGCGAGAUCAUAAUGCUUGAUCUUAACACUUUAGAAUUCCAUGUCUUGGCAGGGCCACCUUGCGGCAAAUACAUAUCCAUCACAGAGCUCCAAGGAGAGGUAUGCGUCACGUGCUCGAGACCAAGCACCAACACCAUAGAGAUAUGGGACAUGGAUGGCAUUGGCAUGUGGUCCAUGCGACUUUGUAUAGAGCUAGCGAGUUUCUUUCCGGAGUACUCAUCGGAGAAUACCACGCUGCUGGCCGUCAAUCCCAAGGAUGGAAGAAUCUUACUCAGCACCGGGAGAUCGUUGGGCUACUAUGCCUCCAAGACGGUUGAGCUGGAGACAAUUUACCGUCUGGACUCGAGCAUCCAAGGAAAGAAGUUUGUCCCUGUUUUGGCCAUGGACAGCUUAGUUCAACCAUGCGAU
RNAcentral lists this ribosomal RNA (1341 nucleotides) under Triticum aestivum (bread wheat). RNAcentral's name for it is "partial small subunit ribosomal RNA". Lineage: Eukaryota; Viridiplantae; Streptophyta; Magnoliopsida; Poales; Poaceae. The record is from RNAcentral.